RNAcentral lists this ribosomal RNA (384 nucleotides) under Triticum aestivum (bread wheat). Its description in RNAcentral is "partial small subunit ribosomal RNA". The record is from RNAcentral. Lineage: Eukaryota; Viridiplantae; Streptophyta; Magnoliopsida; Poales; Poaceae.
AUGGAGAAGAAAGAUGUUAAACCUAGACUUAUUAGAUGGGUUCUCUUGCUACAAGAAUUUGAUUCGCAUAUUAUUGAUAGAAAGGGAGUUGAGAACCCCGUUGCAGACAACUUGUCUAGGUUAGAGAAUGUUCUUCAUGACCCACUGCCUAUUGAUGAUAGCUUCCCUGAUGAACAAUUAUCUAUCAUAAAUGCUUCUCGUACUGCUCCUUGGUAUGCUGAUUAUGCUAAUUACAUUGUUGCUAAAUUUAUACCACCUAGUUUCAUGUACCAGCAAAAGAAAAAGUUUUUCUAUGAUUUAAGACAUUACUUCUGGGAUGACCCACACCUUUAUAAAGAAGGAGUAGAUGGUGUUAUUAGACAUUGUGUACCUGAGCAUGAAUAG